AACGUAGGAGGCGAGCGUUAUCCGGAGUUACUGGGCGUAAAGCGCGCGUAGGCGGUUCGAUAAGUGGCCUGUGAAAGCGCCCGGCUAAACUGGGCGAGGUCAGGUCAGACUGUCGGGCUGGAGGGUGAUAGAGGAGCGUAGAAUUCCGGGUGUAGCGGUGAAAUGUGUAGAGAUCCGGAGGAAUACCAGUGGUGCAGACGACGCUCUGGGUCACACCUGACGCUGAGGCGCGAAAGCUUGGGGAGCGAACGGG
This 253-nucleotide ribosomal RNA is filed under the name uncultured bacterium. RNAcentral's name for it is "partial 16S ribosomal RNA". It matches the Rfam family "Bacterial small subunit ribosomal RNA", at positions 524 to 776 of the family's 1533-position model. The record is from RNAcentral.